RNAcentral lists this RNase P RNA (378 nucleotides) under Sulfurivirga caldicuralii. RNAcentral's name for it is "RNase P RNA component class A". It matches the Rfam family "Bacterial RNase P class A". Rfam says of the family: Ribonuclease P (RNase P) is a ubiquitous endoribonuclease, found in archaea, bacteria and eukarya as well as chloroplasts and mitochondria. Its best characterised activity is the generation of mature 5'-ends of tRNAs by cleaving the 5'-leader elements of precursor-tRNAs. The record is from RNAcentral. Lineage: Bacteria; Pseudomonadati; Pseudomonadota; Gammaproteobacteria; Thiotrichales; Piscirickettsiaceae.
AAAGCGGGCUGGGCAGUCGCCGGUCUUUUGAUCGGAGGAAAGUCCGGGCACCGUAGAGCAGGAUGCCAGCUAACCGCUGGGCGCCGUAAGGCGACGGAAAGUGCCACAGAGAGCAGACCGCCGAUGGCCCUUUGGGCACAGGCAAGGGUGAAAGGGUGCGGUAAGAGCGCACCGCCCGACUGGUAACAGUCGGGGCAGGGUAAACCCCAUCCGGUGCAAGACCAAAUAGGCACACAUGCAGCCUUUGCUGCACAGCCUUGCUCGGGCUGGUGUGCGGGUAGGUCGCUUGAGGCCUGCCGUGAGGUAGGCCCUAGAUGAAUGGCUGCCACCUCUGCGCGGGCAGAGGUACAAAACCCGGCUUAUAGGCCCGCUUUCACU